Molecule: ribosomal RNA, 720 nt
Filed under: uncultured fungus
Lineage: Eukaryota; Fungi
Description: eukaryotic LSU rRNA
Rfam family: Eukaryotic large subunit ribosomal RNA
Source: RNAcentral
CCCGCUGAACUUAAGCAUAUCAAUAAGCGGAGGAAAAGAAACUAACAAGGAUUCCCUCAGUAACGGCUGCAGUGAAGCGGGAAGAGCUCAAAUUUAAAAUCUGGCUUACUUGUAAGUCCGAGUUGUAGUCUGAAGAAACGUUUCCCAUAAGCACUGAGGCACAAGUCCCUUGGAACAGGGCAUCAUAGAGGGUGAGAAUCCCGUCCAUGGUCUCAAGUUGCUUAUUUUGUGAUACGUUUUCAAAGAGUCAGGUUGUUUGGGAAUGCAGCCUAAAAUGGGUGGUAAAUUUCAUCUAAAGCUAAAUAUUGGCGAGAGACCGAUAGCGAACAAGUACCGUGAGGGAAAGAUGAAAAGAACUUUGAAAAGAGAGUUAAACAGUACGUGAAAUUGUUGAAAGGGAACCGUUUGAAGCCAGUCUUACUUGCUCGUGAUCAGUUUGUGCCUCGGCAUGAAUGCACUCUCGGGUAUGGUAGGCCAACGGCAGUUUAGAAUGCGAGAAAAAAAUUUGGGAAAUGUGGCCUUCGGGUGUUAUAGUCCCUUAUGAAAUAUCGUGUUCUGGACUGAGGAUCGCAGUAAAAAUGUGGGCAGGUAGAUUUCUGUGGUGAAUGAUUAUUAGGACAACUUGUUGACCUAGUUUUCAUAAGCCUCACUGUUUGCCUUGCUUGUAAUUUGCUUAGGUCGUUGGCAUAAUGGCUUUAAAUGACCCGUCGUGAAACACGG